RNAcentral lists this ribosomal RNA (253 nucleotides) under uncultured bacterium. RNAcentral's name for it is "partial 16S ribosomal RNA". It matches the Rfam family "Bacterial small subunit ribosomal RNA", at positions 524 to 776 of the family's 1533-position model. The record is from RNAcentral.
GACGGAGGGUGCAAGCGUUGUUCGGAAUUACUGGGCGUAAAGCGUACGUAGGCGGCGGGUUAAGUCGAAUGUUAAAGCCUGGGGCUCAACCCCAGAGAUGCACUCGAUACUGGCCUGCUAGAGGGCGAUAGAGGAAAGCGGAAUUCCCAGUGUAGCGGUGAAAUGCGUAGAUAUUGGGAGGAACAUCAGUAGCGAAGGCGGCUUUCUGGGUCGCACCUGACGCUGAGGUACGAAAGCGUGGGGAGCAAACGGG